CACGUAGUUAGCCGGUCCUUAUUCCCCACCUACCGUCAACCCCGAGAAAACCCGGGGCCUGCGUGAGUGGUAAAAGAGGUUUACAACCCGAAGGCCGUCAUCCCCCACGCGGCGUCGCUGCGUCAGGCUUCCGCCCAUUGCGCAAGAUUCCCCACUGCUGCCUCCCGCAGGAGUCUGGGCCGUGUCUCAGUCCCAGUGUGGCCGGUCGCCCUCUCAGGCCGGCUACCCGUAAUCGCCUUGGUAGGCCGUUACCCCACCAACAAGCUGAUAGGCCGCGAGCCCAUCCCCGACCGAAAAACUUUCCACCCGCCGCCAUGAGGCGGAAGGUCGUAUCCGGUAUUAGACGGCGUUUCCACCGCUUAUCCCGGAGUCAGGGGCAGGUUGCUCACGUGUUACUCACCCGUUCGCCGCUCGUGUACCCCCGAAGGGGCCUUACCGCUCGACUUGCAUGUGUUAAGCACGCCGCCAGCGUCGUCCUCGAGCCACGGAGUCAACUAC
Molecule: ribosomal RNA, 498 nt
Filed under: uncultured Nocardiopsis sp.
Lineage: Bacteria; Bacillati; Actinomycetota; Actinomycetes; Streptosporangiales; Nocardiopsidaceae
Description: partial 16S ribosomal RNA
Source: RNAcentral